AGAGUCCUACGGGAGGCAGCAGUGAGGAAUAUUGGUCAAUGGGGGAAACCCUGAUGCAGCGACGCCGCGUGAGCGAAGAAGUAUUUCGGUAUGUAAAGCUCUAUCAGCAGGGAAGAAAAUGACGGUACCUGAGUAAGAAGCUCCGGCUAAAUACGUGCCAGCAGCCGCGGUAAUACGUAUGGAGCAAGCGUUAUCCGGAUUUACUGGGCGUAAAGGGAGCGUAGGCGGCCUGCCAAGUCUGAUGUGAAAUACCGGGGCUCAACCCCGGGGCUGCAUUGGAAACUGGCAGGCUGGAGUGCCGGAGG
This 305-nucleotide ribosomal RNA is filed under the name uncultured bacterium. RNAcentral's name for it is "bacterial SSU rRNA". It matches the Rfam family "Bacterial small subunit ribosomal RNA", at positions 333 to 655 of the family's 1533-position model. The record is from RNAcentral.